Molecule: ribosomal RNA, 139 nt
Filed under: uncultured eukaryote
Lineage: Eukaryota
Description: partial 18S ribosomal RNA
Rfam family: Eukaryotic small subunit ribosomal RNA
Source: RNAcentral
UGGUGGUUUGAAUUGUCUGGUUGAUUCCGUUAACGAACGAGACCUUAACCUGCUAAAUAGUCUGGCGAACUCGCGUUCGUCUUUAGACUUCUUAGAGGGACUAUGGAUGUUUAAUCCAUGGAAGUUUGAGGCAAUAACA